Molecule: ribosomal RNA, 465 nt
Filed under: uncultured bacterium
Lineage: Bacteria
Description: bacterial SSU rRNA
Rfam family: Bacterial small subunit ribosomal RNA
Source: RNAcentral
GAUUAAUGCUAGCUGUACGCCUAACACAUGCAAGUCGUACGAGAUCACGCAGUAAGCUUGCUUAUAGCGUGUGACAGUGGCAGACGGGUGAGUAACACGUCGGAAUCUGCCCUCUACUCAGGGAUAAGCUCGAGAAAUCGAGUCUAAUACCGGAUGGUCCCGCAAGGGUAAAGCUUCGGCGGUAGAGGAAGAGCCUGCGUCCUAUCAGCUUGUUGGUGAGGUAAAAGCUCACCAAGGCUAUGACGGGUAAUUGGUCUGAGAGGACGACCAGUCACAAUGGGACUGAGAUACGGCCCAGACUCCUACGGGAGGCAGCAGCUAAGAAUCUUCCUCAAUGGGGGAAACCCUGAAGGAGCGACACUGCGUGCAGGAUGAAGGCCCUUUGGGUUGUAAACUGCUUUUGCAGGGGAGAAAUAACCGAAUGGGAUGAUAGUACUCUGCGAAUAAGUCCCGGCUAACUACGUG